GAUUAAGAACGCAUCGAAAUGCGAUAAGUAAUGUGAAUUGCAGAAUUCAGUGAAUCAUCGAAUCUUUGAACGCACAUUGCGCCCGCCAGUAUUCUGGCGGGCAUGCCUGUUCGAGCGUCAUUUCAACCCUCAAGCCCCCGGGCUUGGUGUUGGGGAUCGGCGUGCCCUCGCGGCGCGCCGUCCCCUAAAUCUAGUGGCGGUCUCGCUGUAGCUUCCUCUGCGUAGUAGCAACACUCGCACUGGAUCGCAGCGCGGCCACGCCGUUAAACCCCCCACUUCUGAAAGUUUGACCUCGGAUCAGGUAGGAAUACCCGCUGAACUUAAGCAUAUCAAUAAGCGGAGGA
Molecule: unclassified non-coding RNA, 344 nt
Filed under: soil metagenome
Description: partial contains 5.8S ribosomal RNA, internal transcribed spacer 2, and large subunit ribosomal RNA
Rfam family: 5.8S ribosomal RNA (bases 1-120)
Source: RNAcentral